CUUGACGACCAUAGAGCAUUGGAACCACCUGAUCCCAUCCCGAACUCAGUAGUGAAACGAUGCAUCGCCGAUGGUAGUGUGGGGUUUCCCCAUGU
RNAcentral lists this ribosomal RNA (95 nucleotides) under Pseudomonas hunanensis. Lineage: Bacteria; Pseudomonadati; Pseudomonadota; Gammaproteobacteria; Pseudomonadales; Pseudomonadaceae. RNAcentral also lists the same sequence under 1 other name. The record is from RNAcentral.